UACGUAGGGUGCGAGCGUUAAUCGGAAUUACUGGGCGUAAAGCGUGCGCAGGCGGUUCGUUGUGUCGGCGGUGAAAGCCCCGGGCUCAACCUGGGAAUGGCCGUUGAAACUGGCGAACUGGAGUGUGGCAGAGGGGGGUGGAAUUCCGCGUGUAGCAGUGAAAUGCGUAGAGAUGCGGAGGAACACCGAUGGCGAAGGCAGCCCCCUGGGCUGACACUGACGCUCAGGCACGAAAGCGUGGGGAGCAAACAAG
RNAcentral lists this ribosomal RNA (253 nucleotides) under uncultured bacterium. Its description in RNAcentral is "partial 16S ribosomal RNA". It matches the Rfam family "Bacterial small subunit ribosomal RNA", at positions 524 to 776 of the family's 1533-position model. The record is from RNAcentral.